This 490-nucleotide ribosomal RNA is filed under the name uncultured bacterium. RNAcentral's name for it is "bacterial SSU rRNA". It matches the Rfam family "Bacterial small subunit ribosomal RNA", at positions 21 to 507 of the family's 1533-position model. The record is from RNAcentral.
GGCUCAGGAUGAACGCUAGCGGCAGGCCUAAUACAUGCAAGUCGAGCGGCAAGUUGAGUAGCAAUACUUGACCUAGAGCGGCGCACGGGUGCGUUACGCGUAUGCAACCUACCUUAUACUGUGGGAUAGCCCGGAGAAAUCCGGAUUAAUACCGCAUGGUAUUGAGAGAUGGCAUCAUCACUCAAUUAAAGAUUUAUCGGUAUAAGAUGGGCAUGCGUAGGAUUAGCUAGUUGGUAAGGUAACGGCUUACCAAGGCUACGAUCCUUAGGGGUUCUGAGAGGAAGGUCCCCCACACUGGCACUGAGAUACGGGCCAGACUCCUACGGGAGGCAGCAGUAGGGAAUAUUGGGCAAUGGUCGGAAGACUGACCCAGCCAUGCUGCGUGCAGGAAGACGGCCCUCUGGGUUGUAAACUGCUUUUAUCAGGGAAGAAAAAGGCCAUGCGUGGCAAAUUGCCGGUACCUGAUGAAUAAGCACCGGCUAACUCCGUG